This 254-nucleotide ribosomal RNA is filed under the name uncultured bacterium. RNAcentral's name for it is "partial 16S ribosomal RNA". It matches the Rfam family "Bacterial small subunit ribosomal RNA", at positions 524 to 776 of the family's 1533-position model. The record is from RNAcentral.
UACGUAGGGGGCAAGCGUUGUCCGGAUUUAUUGGGCGUAAAGAGCUCGUAGGCGGCUUGGCAAGUCGGGUGUGAAAACUUCAGGCUCAACCUGGAGAUGGCACUCGAUACUGCUAUGGCUAGAGUCCGGUAGGGGACCACGGAAUUCCUGGUGUAGCGGUGAAAUGCGCAGAUAUCAGGAGGAACACCGGUGGCGAAGGCGGGUCCCUGGACAACUCCUGACGCUGAGGCACGAAAGCUAGGGGAGCAAACAGG